This 459-nucleotide ribosomal RNA is filed under the name uncultured bacterium. RNAcentral's name for it is "partial 16S ribosomal RNA". It matches the Rfam family "Bacterial small subunit ribosomal RNA", at positions 338 to 795 of the family's 1533-position model. The record is from RNAcentral.
CCUACGGGAGGCUGCAGUGAGGAAUAUUGGUCAAUGGUCGGGAGACUGAACCAGCCAAGCCGCGUGAGGGAUGAAGGUACAGAGUAUCGUAAACCUCUUUUGUCAGGGAACAAAGGCGGGGACGUGUCCCCGGAUGAGUGUACCUGAAGAAAAAGCAUCGGCUAACUCCGUGCCAGCAGCCGCGGUAAUACGGAGGAUGCGAGCGUUAUCCGGAUUUAUUGGGUUUAAAGGGUGCGCAGGCGGUCUGUUAAGUCAGCGGUCAAAGCCCGGGGCUCAACCCCGGACCGCCGUUGAAACUGGCAGUCUUGAGUUGGAGAGAAGUAUGCGGAAUGCGCGGUGUAGCGGUGAAAUGCAUAGAUAUCGCGCAGAACUCCGAUUGCGAAGGCAGCAUGCCGGCUCCACACUGACGCUGAGGCACGAAAGCGUGGGUAUCGAACAGGAUUAGAUACCCUUGUAGUC